CGAGGUAAUAUUCGUACUGUAAACAAAAAGUCAAGAAUCUAAGAUAGCCGGUGAAUACGACGUACGAAGACCAAGUAUGUCAGGGUACGAGAAACGACCGGUACCCGUGCGAAAGAGAGUUUCGUAGCCUUCGAGCUGUCGUACACUGACGACCACUGGCUGCUGUUGACUGGAAAGCAAGAUGGCUGCCCCCGGUCAGGACGCGCAUGCGCGCUAACAUUGUGCGGACAUCAAAUAGUCCCUUGCCCUUAACGACGCCUGUUCCAAAAUAUUUAAUAAAAAAUUUCCAUUUAACCAAGUCGCAAUUGAUGUUAUCAUUCAAAUGCUUUGUAUUUAAUCAUGUCUAUUGUUAAAAACAUUCAGUUCAUUGAUUAAUCAUUCUUUUUUUCUUUUCAUGACCGUGUCACGAAGCGUGAUGCGCACGCCAAGUAUCGCUACGCCGAUCGACGUGUCGUCGCGCGCAGAGCCCCGGAAAUACCGCGCCCGUCCCGAGCGCGCCCAACCGUUCGAAUGGACGGUCGACAACAAUUCCUGCGUUGUUUCACUUCUUCCACUUUUUCAUCCGUAAUAAGGGGCAAUGCACGUUUAUUCUACGCAUCAAUGAUAAUUUCAAGUAUGAACGUAAUCUUUCUUCGACAAAAUGAUCGUUUCUAAUAAAAAUUGCCGGUUUAUAUUUUAUGACUAAGAAAAAAAUUUAAUGAAGACACGAUUGUAAGAAAAAUUGAAUAUAACGAAUUUAAAUUAAAUAAUAAUUUAAAUUUUAGCUGAAAUAUAUUCCAAGUAUAUUCCAUUAUGAUAUUUAAGCGUAAUUACAAAUAGUAAAUAAGAAAUAAAUUACAUAUUCAUUAAUUUAAUAUUUU
Molecule: long non-coding RNA, 860 nt
Organism: Apis mellifera (honey bee)
Lineage: Eukaryota; Metazoa; Arthropoda; Insecta; Hymenoptera; Apidae
Exons: 2
Source: RefSeq, a predicted model, not a curated record